GAAUUGGGCUGUCUCUCUCUCUUUCUCUGGUUGCAUUUCACCAGCUAAGGAGUUGCAUUGGCUUCUGCUCUCCUCUCUUGCUCACCUACAUUGUGAGGCAGAUGAGAGUGGAGUCUGUAAAUCACCCUCCAUGCAAUGGUUCAUCAUAAAGGAUAUGGAGCAAAAUUAGAGGAGGCACGAGAAGGAAAGCCGGUGAUGAACAAGGAAAGUGCCUGGUUGAAGCUAGCUUGCAAUCCCCAAAGUCAGAAGGUUGCCUGGGAAGCCAUGAAACAAAGCCAAAUCAAGGCAAAGCAGACACAUGGAGAUUUUGAGACUGAGAAGAGGAAAACUGAGGACAUUCAUGUGAGAUGGUUUCAAGUUUCCCUUAGAAGGAGAAGUUAUCUUCAGAAGGUCAGGUUGGUGAGGUGGGAGUUCAAAAACAACAAAGUAUGUAGCUACCAUUGUGAGGAAGACCAUGGAAAAUGGAUGAAUCAGAAUGAAAGGCUUUCUGAACAAGAGUAAGU
RNAcentral lists this long non-coding RNA (503 nucleotides) under Pan troglodytes (chimpanzee). RNAcentral describes it as "lincRNA". The record is from RNAcentral. Lineage: Eukaryota; Metazoa; Chordata; Mammalia; Primates; Hominidae.